RNAcentral lists this unclassified non-coding RNA (312 nucleotides) under Chytridiomycota sp. RNAcentral's name for it is "partial contains small subunit ribosomal RNA, internal transcribed spacer 1, and 5.8S ribosomal RNA". The stretch from base 1 to 47 matches the Rfam family "Eukaryotic small subunit ribosomal RNA", at positions 1785 to 1831 of the family's 1831-position model. The record is from RNAcentral. Lineage: Eukaryota; Fungi; Chytridiomycota.
AAAGUCGUAACAAGGUAACCGUAGGUGAACCUGCGGUUGGAUCAUUAACAAAUAAUUUAGGCCCCUGGCUGCCUCAAAAGGGCGAAGGGGGAAAACCUAAACAUUUGUGUGCACCAUAUCUGUCCUUGGCAGUCCGAGUGUCCUGGGUUGCGUAACUGCCUCAGGUACCUACCGAGGCUUUCCUUCCGGGGUUUGCCAAAGUUGGGCUGCCGCUUUUAGAACAAACCCAUUGUAAUUUAUUUUUGCCUGAAUUCGUUUGAUCUUCAUGAUUAAAUUUAAAUACAACUUUUGACAACGGAUCUCUUGGCUCUC